CAAGUACUCCCUCCGUCCGGAAUUACUUGUCAUCAAACUGGACGUGUCUAGAACUAAAAUACAUCUAGAUACAUCCAUUUGAAUGACAAGUAUUUUCGGACGGAGGGAGUACAAG
Triticum aestivum (bread wheat) is the source of this 115-nucleotide non-coding RNA. The record is from Rfam. Lineage: Eukaryota; Viridiplantae; Streptophyta; Magnoliopsida; Poales; Poaceae.